UAAAGGAGUCUAACGAUAUCUAAACUACGUUGUAAUUUUAAACUAUGCAUUCAAUUUCAUUAUUUCUAUAUGAAUAAGUAAUUGUUGUUAGAUCAUAUUAUAAUCUAAUCUUAUCUCAAGCAAAUGAUUAUUUUAUAAUUUCAACGCAAAAAAUUAUCAUUGCCAUAGUUCACAUGUUUGCGGAUAUUUAUAGGAAGUUAACGUAAGCAAAUUAAGCUGAGCCUUGGAAAAUGGGAGCUUACCGCGAAUCGACCUUGCUUAAUGAUAUAAUGGGCCUUAAUUAAAUCGUCACCUACGUCAUUAUCAUCACUUUAAACAUGGAGAUCAGAAAGCAGGUCGAACAUCCGAGAGGCGGACUUUCGAGGCGGCCGCCAAUGGUGUAGUGCUUAUAUUUCGCAACGAGAAACGUCAUGUCAUGGCUGUAUGCAUCGCGGUUUACGUAACAAGUGCGAAUAGCUACAUGAAGACUCCGUGAUACAAACUAUUUUGUUUUUAUUAAAUUGUAUUAUCUGUGCAUUUUACGUAAGAAAAAAAUAUAUAUCAUUUAAAAAAAUAACCAACGGACGUGUUUUGUUAGACUCUUGUCUUGAGGGUUGUUUAAAGUAGUCACUUAAUUUCGUAUCACUCAAAGAAAUUGUGUGAUAUCAAAUGAUAUUGGCCUUCUCUUUUAAAGCAAAAAAAUAAA
Molecule: long non-coding RNA, 685 nt
Organism: Bombyx mori (domestic silkworm)
Lineage: Eukaryota; Metazoa; Arthropoda; Insecta; Lepidoptera; Bombycidae
Exons: 2
Source: RefSeq, a predicted model, not a curated record